This 90-nucleotide transfer RNA is filed under the name Alphaproteobacteria bacterium. Its description in RNAcentral is "tRNA-Ser". It matches the Rfam family "tRNA". From Rfam's summary of the family: Transfer RNA (tRNA) molecules are approximately 80 nucleotides in length. Their secondary structure includes four short double-helical elements and three loops (D, anti-codon, and T loops). Lineage: Bacteria; Pseudomonadati; Pseudomonadota; Alphaproteobacteria. The record is from RNAcentral. RNAcentral also lists the same sequence under 1 other name.
GGACAGAUGGCCGAGCGGUUUAAGGCACCGGUCUUGAAAACCGGCAAGGGGGUAACUCCUUCGUGAGUUCGAAUCUCACUCUGUCCGCCA